Molecule: ribosomal RNA, 217 nt
Filed under: Vibrio parahaemolyticus
Lineage: Bacteria; Pseudomonadati; Pseudomonadota; Gammaproteobacteria; Vibrionales; Vibrionaceae
Description: partial 16S ribosomal RNA
Rfam family: Bacterial small subunit ribosomal RNA
Source: RNAcentral
AAUUGAAGAGUUUGAUCAUGGCUCAGAUUGAACGCUGGCGGCAGGCCUAACACAUGCAAGUCGAGCGGAAACGAGUUAUCUGAACCUUCGGGGAACGAUAACGGCGUCGAGCGGCGGACGGGUGAGUAAUGCCUAGGAAAUUGCCCUGAUGUGGGGGAUAACCAUUGGAAACGAUGGCUAAUACCGCAUGAUGCCUACGGGCCAAAGAGGGGGACCU